CAUACUCGUCGGCUUGGUGUAGUUCAAUGGUCAGUACCAAAUGUGGAACUCCCUUGCUGCUGGCAACUACUGUUUGCUAUGGUGAAGAAGUGAAGAAUUGAAGAUCGAAACUUUUUUCACCAUACAGCUGCAUUAAGGUAGUUUUAUUUGGUAAGUUCAUUUUUGCAAACACCUCUUGUGUUUUGAUGCUUCUAAAUUAUUAGGAUUUUUUUCACAUGAGCCAAACAACAUGUUUGGUGGGAACCAUAUAUUUGAUGCUAAUACAAGAGAAAGUACUAGUAUGAUUUGACAGCUUGAAUCGACAUGGGAAUUCAGAUUAAGAUCCAACCUUACAAGUUGUAAUGUGAUUGGAAAUUGGUAAAGGUGCUAAUUAAUAUGAAAAAAAAGGUGGGGAUUUUAAUUUAAAUGGGCAAACAUGCUAUAGGGAUAUGUAUCAAUUGUCUGUGCAGUCUCUUCAUGCUGCAUCCCUUGACUUUGUUCAGAAGUUCUGAAAUAACCAGAUGACUGAAGUAAUGAAGCACCUUCAACAUGAUAGUAGUCUGGCAUUUGCAUGUGAUUGUAGUUAGUGGGA
This 571-nucleotide long non-coding RNA is filed under the name Oryza sativa (Asian cultivated rice). RNAcentral's name for it is "long non-coding RNA (OSAT_LNC001734)". Lineage: Eukaryota; Viridiplantae; Streptophyta; Magnoliopsida; Poales; Poaceae. The record is from RNAcentral.